CUUACCAUGCAAGUCGACGGUGAACACGGAGCUUGCUCUGUGGGAUCAGUGGCGAACGGGUGAGUAACACGUGAGCAACCUGCCCCUGACUCUGGGAUAAGCGCUGGAAACGGCGUCUAAUACUGGAUAUGUGACGUGAUCGCAUGGUCUGCGUCUGGAAAGAAUUUCGGUUGGGGAUGGGCUCGCGGCCUAUCAGCUUGUUGGUGAGGUAAUGGCUCACCAAGGCGUCGACGGGUAGCCGGCCUGAGAGGGUGACCGGCCACACUGGGACUGAGACACGGCCCAGACUCCUACGGGAGGCAGCAGUGGGGAAUAUUGCACAAUGGGCGCAAGCCUGAUGCAGCAACGCCGCGUGAGGGACGACGGCCUUCGGGUUGUAAACCUCUUUUAGCAGGGAAGAAGCGAAAGUGACGGUACCUGCAGAAAAAGCGCCGGCUAACUACGUGCCAGCAGCCGCGGUAAUACGUAGGGCGCAAGCGUUAUCCGGAAUUAUUGGGCGUAAAGAGCUCGUAGGCGGUUUGUCGCGUCUGCUGUGAAAUCCGGAGGCUCAACCUCCGGCCUGCAGUGGGUACGGGCAGACUAGAGUGCGGUAGGGGAGAUUGGAAUUCCUGGUGUAGCGGUGGAAUGCGCAGAUAUCAGGAGGAACACCGAUGGCGAAGGCAGAUCUCUGGGCCGUAACUGACGCUGAGGAGCGAAAGGGUGGGGAGCAAACAGGCUUAGAUACCCUGGUAGUCCACCCCGUAAACGUUGGGAACUAGUUGUGGGGUCCAUUCCACGGAUU
Molecule: ribosomal RNA, 781 nt
Filed under: Microbacterium maritypicum
Lineage: Bacteria; Bacillati; Actinomycetota; Actinomycetes; Micrococcales; Microbacteriaceae
Description: bacterial SSU rRNA
Rfam family: Bacterial small subunit ribosomal RNA
Source: RNAcentral